AGGGCUACCCUGUCUCCCCCCUCCAAUCAGUGUAAACUGAAUCUCCCCGUGAAGACCUCAUGACUACUAGUCUUUCGGCUGGGGCGACCACGGAAGAAAAUAAAACCCCCGAGAUGAAAGGAAAUAUCCUUAUCCCAGAACUACUAUUCCAAGAAUCAAAAAUGACACCAUUGACCCAAUACUUGACCAACGAACCAAGCUACCCUGGGGAUAACAGCGCAAUCCAUUUCAAGAGACCCUAUCGACAAAUGGGCUUACGACCUCGAUGUUGGAUCAGGAAAUCCUGGUGGUGCAGCCGCUACUAAAGGUUCGUUUGUUCAACGAUUAAAACCCUACGUGAUCU
This 343-nucleotide ribosomal RNA is filed under the name Stumpffia sorata. Its description in RNAcentral is "partial large subunit ribosomal RNA". The stretch from base 36 to 343 matches the Rfam family "Bacterial large subunit ribosomal RNA", at positions 2080 to 2606 of the family's 2925-position model. Lineage: Eukaryota; Metazoa; Chordata; Amphibia; Anura; Microhylidae. The record is from RNAcentral.